AUUUCCCAUGAUAUUUUCAGACAAUUUGACACAAAGAAGCGUGGGUUGGACGAAAUUAAGAAAAAAUACUACAAUAUUAAAUCAAGAAGCAAAGAGAAGUUAGACAGUUUCAAAAGGCCCAAGACUGGAGGAGGCCCUCCUGAACCCCCACUUACUGCUGGAGAAGAGACAUUUUUGAGGUUAUCUGAGAGUGAACCAAGUGUCCACGGUUUGGAUGGAUAAGUUGAUACAGAUGCCCCUACAUUCCAAGUCUCAGAAGUGAAUGAGAGCCAGUUGCAAUCUUCACCACAA
This is a long non-coding RNA of Saccostrea cuccullata (small rock oyster), 291 nucleotides long. RefSeq lists it as uncharacterized. The transcript is spliced from 3 exons. NCBI's taxonomy places the organism in Eukaryota, Metazoa, Mollusca, Bivalvia, Ostreida, Ostreidae. The record is from RefSeq and is a predicted model, not a curated record.